This is a small nucleolar RNA of Rana temporaria (common frog), 130 nucleotides long. The record is from RefSeq and is a predicted model, not a curated record. Lineage: Eukaryota; Metazoa; Chordata; Amphibia; Anura; Ranidae.
AUGGCCCUGAAUCAAGGCUGGCAGCUUGUGGCUGUGAGUUUCAAACAGGAGCCUAUAGAAAUUCUUCCUAUGGUCUGUUGGUUGUGCUAAUAUACUUAAGGCUCAGCCUAUUCAGAUGGAAGAAACAAAA